Molecule: ribosomal RNA, 460 nt
Filed under: uncultured bacterium
Lineage: Bacteria
Description: partial 16S ribosomal RNA
Rfam family: Bacterial small subunit ribosomal RNA
Source: RNAcentral
CCUACGGGAGGCAGCAGUGAGGAAUAUUGGUCAAUGGACGCAAGUCUGAACCAGCCAUGCCGCGUGCAGGAAGACGGCUCUAUGAGUUGUAAACUGCUUUUGUACGAGGGUAAACGCAGAUACGCGUAUCUGUCUGACAGUACCGUAUGAAUAAGGAUCGGCUAACUCCGUGCCAGCAGCCGCGGUAAUACGGAGGAUUCAAGCGUUAUCCGGAUUUAUUGGGUUUAAAGGGUGCGUAGGCGGUCGGAUAAGUUAGAUGUGAAAUCCCGAGGCUCAACUUCGGAAUUGCAUCUGAUACUGGGCGGCUAGAGAGUAGUAGAGGUAGGCGGAAUGUAUGGUGUAGCGGUGAAAUGCUUAGAGAUCAUACAGAACACCGAUUGCGAAGGCAGCUUACCAAGCUACUACUGACGUUGAGGCACGAAAGCGUGGGGAGCAAACAGGAUUAGAUACCCCAGUAGUC